RNAcentral lists this unclassified non-coding RNA (414 nucleotides) under Hevea brasiliensis (rubber tree). Lineage: Eukaryota; Viridiplantae; Streptophyta; Magnoliopsida; Malpighiales; Euphorbiaceae. The record is from RNAcentral.
AGAGAGGACUUAAAAUGCUUUAGGAUUAAUUUCAAUCAAAGUAACGAUUUUUAAUCUAUUAAACAAGUGAAAUUAAGACCAUAACAAGGUUGAAGUGCGAAAUCUUAAUUCUGGAACUGUUUAGUCAAUUGAUUCUUAAUUUAAGUUCAUAACUUUAUCUCCUUUUAAAUUCUCAGCAUCUAUAGUUGUAGUUUAGAAUUAAUCUCUCAACACGUUCAGUAGUUUAAAUAGUCAAAAUUGCUGCCUAACUUGGUACUUAUGCCUAUAAAACUCACUACUGUAUUACUUGUUUGUGAUCUGUGCGCUUGUGGGGUUAUAAACUAGCAAAGAAAUACCAUUAGAAUUUCUGAAGUACUACAUUGUUAAAAAAUUAAGGAUCAUUAAAGCAAUGAAGAAGUCAGGUAAUGAAUACCU